UACAGAGGUCUCAACCGUUGUUCGGAUUCAUUGGGCGUAAAGGGUGCGUAGGCGGUCGCGCAAGUCGGAUGUGAAAUCUCAGGGCUCAACCCUGAAACUGCAUUCGAUACUGCGUGGCUAGAGUGCUGGAGAGGAGACUGGAAUUUACGGUGUAGCAGUGAAAUGCGUAGAUAUCGUAAGGAAGACCAGUGGCGAAGGCGAGUCUCUGGACAGCAACUGACGCUGAGGCACGAAGGCCAGGGGAGCGAAACGGG
Molecule: ribosomal RNA, 254 nt
Filed under: uncultured bacterium
Lineage: Bacteria
Description: partial 16S ribosomal RNA
Rfam family: Bacterial small subunit ribosomal RNA
Source: RNAcentral